This 465-nucleotide ribosomal RNA is filed under the name uncultured bacterium. RNAcentral's name for it is "partial 16S ribosomal RNA". It matches the Rfam family "Bacterial small subunit ribosomal RNA", at positions 28 to 507 of the family's 1533-position model. The record is from RNAcentral.
GACGAACGCUGGCGGCGUGCUUAACACAUGCAAGUCGAACGGAAAGGCCCUGCUUGCAGGGUACUCGAGUGGCGAACGGGUGAGUAACACGUGGGUGAUCUGCCCUGCACUUCGGGAUAAGCCUGGGAAACUGGGUCUAAUACCGGAUAUGACCUUCCAUGUAGUGUGGGGGGUGGAAAGAUUUAUCGGUGUGGGAUGAGCCCGCGGCCUAUCAGCUUGUUGGUGGGGUAAUGGCCUACCAAGGCGUCGACGGGUAGCCGGCCUGAGAGGGUGGACGGCCAAAUUGGGACUGAGAUACGGCCCAGACUCCUACGGGAGGCAGCAGUGGGGAAUAUUGCACAAUGGGCGGAAGCCUUAUGCAGCGACGCCGCGUGGGGGAUGACGGCCUUCGGGUUGUAAACCUCUUUCGACAGGGACGAAGCUUCGGUGACGGUACCUGUAUAAGAAGCACCGGCUAACUACGUG